Triticum aestivum (bread wheat) is the source of this 134-nucleotide non-coding RNA. Lineage: Eukaryota; Viridiplantae; Streptophyta; Magnoliopsida; Poales; Poaceae. The record is from Rfam.
GACCUACUCCCUUCGUCCCGAAUACUUGUCAUCAAAAUGAAUAAAAGGUGAUGUAUCUAGAUGUAUAUUAGUUCUAGAUACAUCUUUUUUUAUUCAUUUUAAUGACAAGUAUUUUCGGACGAAGGAAGUACUAG